This 351-nucleotide transfer-messenger RNA is filed under the name Dictyoglomus thermophilum. RNAcentral's name for it is "Standard tmRNA". It matches the Rfam family "transfer-messenger RNA". Rfam says of the family: Bacterial tmRNA, also known as 10Sa RNA or SsrA, is named for its dual tRNA and mRNA-like properties. Its role is to liberate the mRNA from a stalled ribosome. Lineage: Bacteria; Pseudomonadati; Dictyoglomota; Dictyoglomia; Dictyoglomales; Dictyoglomaceae. The record is from RNAcentral.
GGGGGCGAUUGGUUUCGACAGGGAGUACAAGGAUCAAAAGCUGCAAGCCGAGGUGCCGUUACCUCGUAAAACAACGGACAAAAAAGAAGUGCCAACACAAAUUUAGCAUUAGCUGCUUAAUUUAGCAGCUACGCUCUUCUAACCCGGGCUGGCAGGGUUAGAAGGGUGUCAUAAUGAGCCAGCUGCCCCUUCCGACUCCCCUAAGGAAGGGAAAGAUGUAGGGGAUAGGUGCUUACAGAAUCCUGCGGGAGGGAGUCUGUAAGUGCCGAAAAGUUAAAACUCCCGCUAAGCUUGUAGAGGCUUUUGAUUCUUGCUCUCUGGACGCGGGUUCGACUCCCGCCGCCUCCACCA